This is a long non-coding RNA of Gallus gallus (chicken), 2885 nucleotides long. Lineage: Eukaryota; Metazoa; Chordata; Aves; Galliformes; Phasianidae. The record is from Ensembl.
CACAGCUACCCUACAAGCAGUGCCAUUCCAGACCAUGCAUGCUGACAGGCCAAGUUGAUCAUCCACCAAUCCACAUCUCCAUGAGGCAGUUGGAUUAAGCGUCCAAACUCACAGCCCUGGUAUUUCUGGAACAAAACGAUCUAUUUUCAGCUGUUGUUUUUUUUCCCCACAGAAAACCUGCAGCCAGCAUGCUUUGUUAACCUCACAGGCUGAGUUAAACCUGGUUGUAUUCUGUACCAGCCCCACCGGAGGCAACGUGCUGAUAAAGGUUGUCUGAAUUCAUCCCACCUGACUUCCAGGUUUUAGGAUAGGACCCAAAGAUCACUGAACCACCAGUGGAAAGAAACAAGCUCUUCCCAAGAGCGAAUCAGGUUCUAUUCAUCAGUUGCAAGUUCUGUGCCAGGAUGCUGGCUCCUUGUCCUCACAGCUGGGGCAGCUCCCCACAGGCAGCUGGGAGGAGGCCUGGACAGAAGAGUGCAGCCUCUCCUAGGGCCUGCCUUCCUCUGCAGGAAAUCCUGGCUUCCAGGGAGGAAGAGAGCUGCACCAUGCUCCCAGAGAGACUGUGUGAAUUGUGAGGUGCACCACAAAGUUUGGUUGAUGCUUUGGUGGUGAGAUGUAGUUCAUAGAAAUCAGUGUAAUGAUUCCUAAGACCCUUUAUGGCUCCAGACCCAUCUACCAGCAUCUUUUGCAGUUGACCUGGGUGUCAACCCAGACAUGGCAUCGGAUAUGGCCGUGAUGUCAUUCUAACCCAGGCUAGAUAAUCAUGCCCAAAUGUGUGAGGUAUGGGGAAAGGUAACUGAAAUGUUACCUGAAGUGAGUACCACGCAACAAUGAGAAUACAUAGCAUAUUUACUUUGAGGUUUGAAAAUAAAAAAUACUUGCAGCAAGCCAAUUUAGAAUAGCAUUUUUUUACAUCGAUAAAUAGUACAAGAUUUUUGUUGAAAAUAAUUAAGCACUGCAAUUGCACAUUAUCUUUACUGCAUGAAGAGAGAGGUUAGGCAUCUCCAAAGCUCUGGAAGAUUGUUCUGUCAUUAUGUCACAAUUGAUCAGUAUUUAAUUGUUUUGCUUGAGGAUUUUUUGCCUCUUCUCUACAUGAUGAUUUCUUUCGGCACACAAAUCAAAACUAUUUAUCAGCAAAAGUUACUAAUUUCUCUCAAAGAGAUUCCUUCUGAGUUUUCAUGCUGAGACACUGGUCUUGAUUAACUUUCUUCUGUAAUCUAUUGAGCUUCCGGUGGCUGAUUUAAGCAUUAAAUUUAUCCAGUUUAAGUACUGAUUACUGCAGACUAAAAGCUUCAUCCAUAUCAAAGACUUAUCCCCCCCACCCCCACCACCCCAAGGAAGAAAUUUAAAAGCCCGUUAAAAUGCCCUUCCUUUUUCCAAGGAUGUUACUGAAAUAACUUGGUGCUAAGAAUACAUGAGGUUUGUGUUGAGCUAAAAUCUGAAAGCUGGAACUGAGACAGAUGCCCCCAGAUAGUCCUAAAAAUCUUCAACCGGAUAUUCAGGUUUGAAAUCCACUGCAAUCCAAAUACCACCACAGCCUGGGGCACUGAUAUUCAUCAUUCUAGUUCUAAUGAGCGCAAGGGGAGAAGGGAAUCAGCUGUAUUGGAUCUGAAUCCAAAUUCUCCUGAGGUGUCUUUGAAAUUUUGGGGGGAGAUGAGAUGGAAAGGAUGGUAAUGAAGUGAUAGUGAAGUAGCAAAAGUAAGUAAACGAUUAAGAUACGAAGAUAUAGUGACAACAGUAAAGCUGGAAGUGUGGAAAUAGUUUUCAUUUCUGAUACUCUCCCUGUAAAACGUCUUUUUCUAGUUUAUUAUCACAUUUUCUAUAUCUUUAUAGUUAGUAUGUAUCAUUUGGCUACAGAAGUACAUAAAAUAUUUGGAAUUAUUGAAUUCAUUUUUUUUAUGUACGUGACGUGACCAAAAGUGACCAUGGGGUUCUCCAAGGGAGCUUCAGAAGCCCUCACAACAACAGAAGCCUUUCUGAAGACUGCAGCAGAACUGGAGGCCCUUCUGCCAUGCUGUGUCAAGUGCAAUGGAGAUUACUGUACUUUCAGCCACUGAGGUUGGACUUAGAAGCCUAAAGCAUCAAGUUACCAGCCAAGUGAAAAGGCAGUUAUGUACAUAAUACCACAGAGAGACCCUCCUUGCACUCUAAGUUGUUCAGGUUUCCAGCUCUGGUCUGGGAGAUGUUUUGAGAAAAUGAUUGUAUUUGAAACAACAACUGUUGGAGCGGAGGGAGGCUCGGCUGUGCAACUGUUUUCAUCUGGCCGUACAGCAAAGCGUGUGUUCAGUCUUGCAGAAAUCGUAACCUAAAAAACAAAUAAACAACAACAACAAAAAUACAAAACAUGCUUCUCAAAGAUAGAUAUCCGUCUCACAGGGUAAUGGAACAUAGCUUUGAAAAAAGCUUCAAAAUGCUAAAACAGCAAAGGCCAUAUCUUCAAUGUGUAGCUUUCUCAAAGUUAGGAUUCCAAAACAUGUAAGUAUCCAUAGCUUUUCCUGCAUUUGAGCAUUUUAGCUAAAGUCUGUGUAUAUAUGUGUGUAUGUAUGUAGUAUGUAUAAUGUAUGCUUUAAUUUAUAUUUUCCUUAAAAUGAGUCACUGCACAUCAGAACUUGAUGCGAAAUACAAGACCAUACAGAAACCUCUAUACUUUCUUGAAAGGAAAUAGUUACCUUUGUUUUCAUGCAUUUCAUUUUCUUCUAUUGUUAUCAUGCUUCUUAGCAUAACACAAACCCAGAAUUUCUCCUGUGCUUGCCAGCUGGUAGCCAGCCACAAGAGCUGAUGUAAGUAGUUAGCAAAGUCCCUGGACUGGUAUCUGGACUUCCAAUGCGUGUCCUGCACAUUAGCACAGCUGAGCCUCCAGCUGAGACCAUCACGGCAUUUCAACC